Molecule: transfer RNA, 50 nt
Filed under: Metacrangonyx goulmimensis
Lineage: Eukaryota; Metazoa; Arthropoda; Malacostraca; Amphipoda; Metacrangonyctidae
Description: transfer RNA Serine
Source: RNAcentral
AACCACCCAUAGGUGUUUUGAAAACACUAAUUAGACUUGUCUGGUGGUUU